RNAcentral lists this ribosomal RNA (253 nucleotides) under uncultured bacterium. Its description in RNAcentral is "partial 16S ribosomal RNA". It matches the Rfam family "Bacterial small subunit ribosomal RNA", at positions 524 to 776 of the family's 1533-position model. The record is from RNAcentral.
UACAGAGGGGGCAAGCGUUGUUCGGAAUUACUGGGCUUAAAGGGUUUGUAGGCGGCCAUGUAAGUCGGGUGUGAAAUCCCUCGGCUCAACCGAGGAAUGGCGCCCGAUACUGCACGGCUUGAGGGAGACAGGGGUAAGCGGAACUGAUGGUGGAGCGGUGAAAUGCGUUGAUAUCAUCAGGAACACCGGUGGCGAAAGCGGCUUACUGGGUCUCUUCUGACGCUGAGGAACGAAAGCUAGGGUAGCGAACGGG